RNAcentral lists this ribosomal RNA (238 nucleotides) under uncultured bacterium. Its description in RNAcentral is "partial 16S ribosomal RNA". It matches the Rfam family "Bacterial small subunit ribosomal RNA", at positions 539 to 776 of the family's 1533-position model. The record is from RNAcentral.
CGUUGUUCGGAAUUACUGGGCGUAAAGGGCGCGUAGGUGGCCUUCUAAGUUGAACGUGAAAUCCCUGGGCUCAACCCAGGAACUGCGUCCAAGACUGGGAGGCUUGAAUCCGGGAGAGGGAUGCGGAAUUCCAGGUGUAGCGGUGAAAUGCGUAGAUAUCUGGAGGAACACCGGUGGCGAAGGCGGCAUCCUGGACCGGCAUUGACGCUGAGGCGCGAAAGCCAGGGGAGCAAACGGG